RNAcentral lists this ribosomal RNA (468 nucleotides) under uncultured bacterium. RNAcentral's name for it is "partial 16S ribosomal RNA". It matches the Rfam family "Bacterial small subunit ribosomal RNA", at positions 28 to 507 of the family's 1533-position model. The record is from RNAcentral.
GACGAAUGCUGGCGGCGUGCUUAACACAUGCAAGUCGAACGGAAAGGCCCUGCUUUUGUGGGGUGCUCGAGUGGCGAACGGGUGAGUAACGCGUGAGUAACCUGCCCUUGACUUUGGGAUAACUUCAGGAAACUGGGGCUAAUACCGGAUAGGAGCUCCUGCUGCAUGGUGGGGGUUGGAAAGUUUCGGCGGUUGGGGAUGGACUCGCGGCUUAUCAGCUUGUUGGUGGGGUAGUGGCUUACCAAGGCUUUGACGGGUAGCCGGCCUGAGAGGGUGACCGGCCACAUUGGGACUGAGAUACGGCCCAGACUCCUACGGGAGGCAGCAGUGGGGAAUAUUGCACAAUGGGCGGAAGCCUGAUGCAGCAACGCCGCGUGCGGGAUGACGGCCUUCGGGUUGUAAACCGCUUUCGCCUGUGACGAAGCGUGAGUGACGGUAAUGGGUAAAGAAGCACCGGCUAACUACGUG